Molecule: non-coding RNA, 30 nt
Filed under: Rattus norvegicus (Norway rat)
Lineage: Eukaryota; Metazoa; Chordata; Mammalia; Rodentia; Muridae
Source: RNAcentral
UCACUCAGUGUACAAGUGUUCUGGAUGUGA